UACGGAGGGUGCAAGCGUUGUUCGGAAUUAUUGGGCGUAAAGCGCACGUAGGCGGCUUGGUAAGUCACAUGUGAAAGCCCUCGGCUCAACUGCGGAAUUGCCCUUGAUACUGCUGGACUUGAGUUCGGGAGAGGGUGGCGGAAUUCCAGGUGUAGGAGUGAAAUCCGUAGAUAUCUGGAGGAACAUCAGUGGCGAAGGCGGCCACCUGGACCGAUACUGACGCUGAGACGCGAAAGCGUGGGGAGCAAACAGG
RNAcentral lists this ribosomal RNA (253 nucleotides) under uncultured bacterium. RNAcentral's name for it is "partial 16S ribosomal RNA". It matches the Rfam family "Bacterial small subunit ribosomal RNA", at positions 524 to 776 of the family's 1533-position model. The record is from RNAcentral.